GUAGGGAAUAUUGGGCAAUGGAGGCAACUCUGACCCAGCCAUGCCGCGUGCAGGAAGACGGUCCUCUGGAUUGUAAACUGCUUUUGAAUGGGAAGAAACGUAGCUUUGCGAAGCUAUUUGACGGUACUAUUAGAAUAAGCACCGGCUAACUCCGUGCCAGCAGCCGCGGUAAUACGGAGGGUGCAAGCGUUAUCCGGAUUUAUUGGGUUUAAAGGGUGCGUAGGCGGCUUUAUAAGUCUGGGGUUAAAGGCGGCAGCUUAACUGUACGCAUGCCCUGGAAACUGUGAAGCUUGAGUGACUUGGAGGUAGCUAGAAUUCCCUGUGUAGCGGUGAAAUGCAUAGAUACGGGGAGGAAUACCGAUUGCGAAGGCAUGUUACUACGAGUAAACUGACGCUGAUGCACGAAAGCGUGGGGAUCAAACAUGAUUAGAUACCCCUGUAGUCC
Molecule: ribosomal RNA, 445 nt
Filed under: uncultured bacterium
Lineage: Bacteria
Description: partial 16S ribosomal RNA
Rfam family: Bacterial small subunit ribosomal RNA
Source: RNAcentral